GAGUGCGGCAGAGGCAUGCGGAAUUCGUGGUGUAGCGGUGAAAUGCUUAGAUAUCACGAAGAACUCCGAUUGCGAAGGCAGCAUGCUGGGCCGUUACUGACGCUGAGGCUCGAAAGUGCGGGUAUCAAACAGGAUUAGAUACCCUGGUAGUCCGCACAGUAAACGAUGGACACUCGCUGUUGGCGAUAGACUGUCAGCGGCCGAGCGAAAGCGUUAAGUGUCCCACCUGGGGAGUACGCCGGCAACGGUGAAACUCAAAGGAAUUGACGGGGGCCCGCACAAGCGGAGGAACAUGUGGUUUAAUUCGAUGAUACGCGAGGAACCUUACCCGGGCUUGAACUGUGCCGGACGUAUCCGGAAACGGAUAUUCCCUUCGGGGCCGGCAUGGAGGUGCUGCAUGGUUGUCGUCAGCUCGUGCCGUGAGGUGUCGGCUCAAGUGCCAUAACGAGCGCAACCCUCAUUUCCAGUUGCCAUCGGGUUAUGCCGGGGACUCUGGAGAGACUGCCGUCGUAAGAUGCGAGGAAGGGGGGGAUGACGUCAAAUCAGCACGGCCCUUACGUCCGGGGCUACACACGUGUUACAAUGGGGGGUACAGCGGGACGCUACCCGGCGACGGGAUGCCAAUCCUGAAAGCCCCUCUCAGUUCGGACUGGAGUCUGCAACCCGACUCCACGAAGCUGGAUUCGCUAGUAAUCGCGCAUCAGCCACGGCGCGGUGAAUACGUCCCCGGGCCUUGUACACACCGCCCGUCAAGCCAUGAAAGCCGGGGGUGCCUGAAGUGCGUGACCGCGAGGAGCGCCCUAGGGUAAAACCGGUGAUUGGGGCUAAGUCGUAACAAGGUAACCA
Molecule: ribosomal RNA, 846 nt
Filed under: uncultured bacterium
Lineage: Bacteria
Description: bacterial SSU rRNA
Rfam family: Bacterial small subunit ribosomal RNA
Source: RNAcentral